UCGUCAGCUCGUGUCGUGAGAUGUUGGGUUAAGUCCCGCAACGAGCGCAACCCUUGUUAUUAGUUGCCAGCAUUAAGUUGGGCACUCUAAUGAGACUGCCGGUGACAAACCGGAGGAAGGUGGGGAUGACGUCAAGUCAUCAUGCCCCUUAUGACCUGGGCUACACACGUGCUACAAUGGGCAGUACAACGAGAAGCAAGCCUGCGAAGGCAAGCGAAUCUCUGAAAGCUGUUCUCAGUUCGGACUGCAGUCUGCAACUCGACUGCACGAAGCUGGAAUCGCUAGUAAUCGCGGAUCAGCACGCCGCGGUGAAUACGUUCCCGGGCCUUGUACGCACCGCCCGUCACACCAUGGGAGUCUGCAAUGCCCAAAGCCGGUGGCCUAACCUUCGGGAAGGAGCCGUCUAAGGCAGGGCAGAUGACUGGGGUGAAGUCGUAACAAGGUAGCCGUA
RNAcentral lists this ribosomal RNA (451 nucleotides) under uncultured bacterium. Its description in RNAcentral is "bacterial SSU rRNA". It matches the Rfam family "Bacterial small subunit ribosomal RNA", at positions 1052 to 1504 of the family's 1533-position model. The record is from RNAcentral.